Long non-coding RNA from Peromyscus maniculatus bairdii (prairie deer mouse), 737 nucleotides. RefSeq lists it as uncharacterized. Lineage: Eukaryota; Metazoa; Chordata; Mammalia; Rodentia; Cricetidae. The record is from RefSeq and is a predicted model, not a curated record.
GGCCCCGCCCCCUGCCCAGGGCCCGGCCCCUCCCACUCUGCUCUGGAAGCAGAUUCUCGUCGCAGGAAGGUUGUGUGCAGUUGCGGGCACCCGGCGGAAAAGUCGUCGCUGAGUGCGGCUCUCCGCUCUUCCGCUUCCAAGUCGCAGGGGCAGGAAGUAGAUCGUGGCCCCCGAGCCGCGAGGGGGCGCGCGCUGGAGGGAGCCUCAGCGCAGCCUCCUAGGGUCUGAGGCAGGCGGGUGAUUUCUGAGCGUCGCUAGUGUUGGAAGAAGCUCCGGGUUGAGCGCACCCUGUUCCGGCAAGCUCUACCGAGGACUUGAGAAUGACCCUGGGGACGGGGGCUGACGAAGUCAGGACGAGUUAGCAGCAGUGUUCCAAGUUUUGGAUUACACUUGUUUUGUGUUUCAAAUGCCCUGGAUUUUGUGCUUGGGUAGGAACCAAGAUAAAUGUUGGAAAGAACUUCAGGCAUCCUAUUGCUGAAGCACGUAUGAACUCACAGAAACUAUGGCAGUACAUACAGGGUCUGCACAAGUCUAAACAAGAUGAGUCAGCAGCUCUGAAAGGGGAAAUGGACAUGAGCUUCCAUACCUAACCAAGAAGGAAUCUCCAACAAUGGAUUGGAAAGGAAAAUGGUUUCGAUCUAAUUUAGUCUCACUGGAUAAAUAAACUACAUUCAAGUGUAUGCCCAAUGCCUAUCAGGAGAUGGCCAACAGAAAAUAAAUGCAAUGGUAUUUUUGUA